CCCUGGUUAGCUCAGUUGGUAGAGCGCUCCACUUGUAAUGGAGAGGUCCCAGGUUCGAUACCCGGACCAGGCG
Ixodes scapularis (black-legged tick) is the source of this 73-nucleotide non-coding RNA. The record is from Rfam. Lineage: Eukaryota; Metazoa; Arthropoda; Arachnida; Ixodida; Ixodidae.